GCUCAAAUUUGAAAUCUGGUACCUUCGGUGCCCGAGUUGUAAUUUGGAGAGGGCAACUUUGGGGCCGUUCCUUGUCUAUGUUCCUUGGAACAGGACGUCAUAGAGGGUGAGAAUCCCGUGUGGCGAGGAGUGCGGUUCUUUGUAAAGUGCCUUCGAAGAGUCGAGUUGUUUGGGAAUGCAGCUCUAAGUGGGUGGUAAAUUCCAUCUAAAGCUAAAUAUUGGCGAGAGACCGAUAGCGAACAAGUACAGUGAUGGAAAGAUGAAAAGAACUUUGAAAAGAGAGUGAAAAAGUACGUGAAAUUGUUGAAAGGGAAGGGCAUUUGAUCAGACAUGGUGUUUUGUGCCCUCUGCUCCUUGUGGGUAGGGGAAUCUCGCAUUUCACUGGGCCAGCAUCAGUUUUGGUGGCAGGAUAAAUCCAUAGGAAUGUAGCUUGCCUCGGUAAGUAUUAUAGCCUGUGGGAAUACUGCCAGCUGGGACUGAGGACUGCGACGUAAGUCAAGGAUGCUGGCAUAAUGGUUAUAUGCCGCCCGUCUUGAACCACGGACCA
RNAcentral lists this ribosomal RNA (547 nucleotides) under Saccharomyces cerevisiae (brewer's yeast). RNAcentral's name for it is "partial large subunit ribosomal RNA". It matches the Rfam family "Eukaryotic large subunit ribosomal RNA", at positions 107 to 668 of the family's 3401-position model. The record is from RNAcentral. Lineage: Eukaryota; Fungi; Ascomycota; Saccharomycetes; Saccharomycetales; Saccharomycetaceae.